CCAGCAGCCGCGGUAAUUCCAGCUCCAAUAGCGUAUAUUAAAGUUGUUGCAGUUAAAAAGCUCGUAGUUAAUUUUCUGUUAAUUUUUAUAUACAAUGCUACGGUAUUUAUAUAAUAUUAACAUAAUUCAUAUUACAUUUUAGUAUAUGAAACUUUACUAUGAGAAAAUUAGAGUGCUUAAAGCAGGCUAUUGCCUUGAAUACUCCAGCAUGGAAUAAUAUUAAGGAUUUUUAUUCUUCUUAUUGGUUCUAGAAUAAUAAUAAUGAUUAAUAGGGACAGUUGGGGGCAUUUGUAUUUAACAGUCAGAGGUGAAAUUCUUAGAUUUGUUAAAGACAAACUACUGCGAAAGCAUUUGCCAAGGAUGUUUUCAUUAAUCAAGAACGAAAGUUAGGGGAUCGAAGACGAUCAGAUACCGUCGUAGUCUUAACCAUAAACUAUGCCAACUAGAGAUUGGAGGUUGUUCCUU
RNAcentral lists this ribosomal RNA (465 nucleotides) under Cryptosporidium ryanae. Its description in RNAcentral is "bacterial SSU rRNA". It matches the Rfam family "Eukaryotic small subunit ribosomal RNA", at positions 567 to 1068 of the family's 1831-position model. Lineage: Eukaryota; Apicomplexa; Conoidasida; Eucoccidiorida; Cryptosporidiidae. The record is from RNAcentral.